GCACACCCUGCCUGUUACUGGGAGACCGAAACAGGAAAAACAUACCUUGCAGGUUAAGGGUUCUGUUUGCAGUCAAGACAAGAGAGCGGCGGUAAGGUUCCAGCCAUGUUCCUCGAAUCUCAACACAGAUGUACUAAGAUUACAGAUCAAAAGGGGUGCCAAACCAGUGAUUUCACCCACUGAGCCAUCUCCCUGGCUCGGAUCAGCAUUUUAACAGGACCAAGCAAUUCUUGUCCACACAGACAUUUGACACCCACUGCAUUGGAUCUUCGAGCCUUUCAUAUGAAGAACUGUUUGCUCUGGGAAUCCAUUUUACCUCACGCCUAAAACUGACAGGGAAGAAAGUCCUCGAGUGCCCUCUGGAGGUCAUCGUAGGAACUGGGCAGCUUUAUAGUGAGGUUUUGUUUUCUUUUUCUCGGGGACAGGCGCAUUGCUUCCCGGAGCCUCAGGAUUCCUGGAGAACCCAAUUGCUGUGGCCUUGCUUAGUAUCACUAAAUCCACAUUCUGUCCUGGCCAAUGCCAGCCUGACCCAGGUCCUCUGGUGCUGUGACCACGGCUGCUGCCACCGGCUCUGCAAAUGAAAACAAACCCAAGGGAUUGCUCAGAACUUAAUGAAUGAAGCAUUUCUUUUCUAUAAUUUGUUUUUACUUCACAAAAAAAUGAGACUCCCAAGAAGCACUCCCAGAAAAUGAAAGGACAGGACAGGAAAAGCCCUGCCCUCUGAAAAAUCUAUCAAGUGCGCCCACACAAGUUCCCAGCCGUCCGACCACACAUGCAGUUCCUCAGAUUUAUAGCUUAAUCUUGCAAAAAUGGGACCGGUUGCUUUGAGAAAAACAGUUAACUAGACAGAUUGCUUGGGGGUGAAAGGAAGACUUCUGCCUGUGUCCGUGAUUAACUUGUGCGGAGCGUGAGUUUCAGUCGCAAAAACAAAAACAGCGUGCAGUGGCAUAAGGUAUCUGUCACAGUUGCCAUUGUACCCAAGGCGGAAUUACUUACCUAUAGGAGUCACUGCAAAAUCUGCUAUAAGCCAUGCUGCUAGCUACCGCCUCCUCUGCAGGGAACUUUGUAACUGUUAACACAAGGUGAUCCAGAACUGAGGAAACGCAGGCUUCUCUUGACCCCCAGAACUCCACACUCACCAGGCUGUGUUCUCACCUUCCUCGCAACCACUUCUCAGUCUCACCACAGGGCCCUGACCUCCAAUGAGGGGAGCGAUACCUGGAGUAUCAUUUUAUCUCUACUCUUGACAAAAAUCAUCUCAGCUGGUCUUCAAGGCACCGAGUAUUCACCAAUGAGCCUCGCUUUUCUACUU
Long non-coding RNA from Rattus rattus (black rat), 1312 nucleotides. RefSeq lists it as uncharacterized. The transcript is spliced from 3 exons. Lineage: Eukaryota; Metazoa; Chordata; Mammalia; Rodentia; Muridae. The record is from RefSeq and is a predicted model, not a curated record.